RNAcentral lists this long non-coding RNA (462 nucleotides) under Ananas comosus (pineapple). RNAcentral describes it as "long non-coding RNA (ACOM_LNC034305)". Lineage: Eukaryota; Viridiplantae; Streptophyta; Magnoliopsida; Poales; Bromeliaceae. The record is from RNAcentral.
CGGAUUUGGGGCGGAUUUUCAAAAACCCGAACCCGAACCUGACUUCAAAUCCGAGAGCUGAACCCGAACUCGAACCCGACGGAUUUUAAAAAUCUAUAUCCAAAUCCGAACCCGACCAAAAAUCUGAAACCCAAAUCCGAAUCCAAAAAUUUGAAUCCGAAACAAUUAUUUUUUUUUUCAAUAUUUCAAAAUAUUAUUAUAUUAAAUCUAAAUUUUUAAAAUACAAAUUAAAAUAUAACAUUAAAUUAUAUAUAUAUAUAUAUAUAAUACAAAAUAAAUUCGAGUUCGGGUUGGGUUCGGAUUCAGAUCGGGUACAGUCAAAAUCUAUAUCCGAAUUCAUAUUCGUGGGUUUCUAUUUUUAAUAUCUAUAUCCGAAUUCAUAUCCAUUUAGCAUAGGAUAUAUCCGUUUUAUUCGGGUUCGGAUUCGGAUGAAAUUUCGGAUAUUCAUACCCAUUUACAUCC